This 494-nucleotide ribosomal RNA is filed under the name uncultured bacterium. RNAcentral describes it as "partial 16S ribosomal RNA". It matches the Rfam family "Bacterial small subunit ribosomal RNA", at positions 28 to 507 of the family's 1533-position model. The record is from RNAcentral.
GACGAACGCUGGCGGCGUGCCUAAUACAUGCAAGUAGAACGCUGAAGGAGGAGCUUGCUUCUCUGGAUGAGUUGCGAACGGGUGAGUAACGCGUAGGUAACCUGCCUGGUAGCGGGGAUAACUAUUGGAAACGAUAGCUAAUACCGCAUAAUAGUAGAUGUUGCAUGACAUUUGCUUAAAAGGUGCAAUUGCAUCACUGCCAGAUGGACCUGCGUUGUAUUAGCUAGUUGGUGGGGUAACGGCUCACCAAGGCGACGAUACAUAGCCGACCUGAGAGGGUGAGCAGCCACACUGGGACUGAGACACGGCCCAGACUCCUACGGGAGGCAGCAGUAGGGAAUCUUCGGCAAUGGACGGAAGUCUGACCGAGCAACGCCGCGGGAGUGAAGAAGGUUGUCGGAUCGUAAAGCUCUGUUGUAAGAGAAGAACGAGUGUGAGAGUGGAAAGUUCACACUGUGACGGUAUCUGACCAGAAAGGGACGGCUAACUACGUG